This is a long non-coding RNA of Argentina anserina (silverweed cinquefoil), 481 nucleotides long. RefSeq lists it as uncharacterized. The transcript has 2 exons. Lineage: Eukaryota; Viridiplantae; Streptophyta; Magnoliopsida; Rosales; Rosaceae. The record is from RefSeq and is a predicted model, not a curated record.
UCCCAAAACUUCAAUCCGUUCCCAAAGCUUCCAGUCUCCGGUUCAUUGACGAAAACACGGCGCGGAGCUCCAUAAGACCGCUAUGGAGAGUGAACGACAAUUUUUCUGAUGGUGGUAGAUUCGCUGGGUGGUUAAGGAGUUGACGAGAUCCCCGACAGCGGGGGUGGGUGAGUCAGAUUGGGAUUCCGGCGAUGGCUUGGUUGUGAUUCCCAUUGUCCAUUGGAGCUUCUUCAAGUACAUAUCAGUUACUCAGUUUUUCAGAAGAAGAAGAAAGCUGAAGUGAAACAACAGUAGAAGAAGCACUAUGAACUUAAACAGAUUUUUUCUAGUAUUAUUUGACUAUGUUUUAAGUAUCCAAGUGAACUAUUCUAUGGUGUAGUGUAUUUUUUUAUGAUGGUGGCAACUGGUUGGCAUCUCUUUGUUGUUGACUUCUGAGUUGAUAUACUCAUUAAAGCUUAAGUUUGCUGGAUUUUUUUUUGAA